AUUUACCUGAGAUCGCGUUAGGGAUAGAAGCGGUAUCCUUUUUAUUUUUUCUUUAAAAAUAAAAAGAUAUAGCGGAUAGCCCGACCGAAG
Molecule: small RNA, 90 nt
Filed under: Flavobacterium pectinovorum
Lineage: Bacteria; Pseudomonadati; Bacteroidota; Flavobacteriia; Flavobacteriales; Flavobacteriaceae
Description: Flavo-1 RNA
Rfam family: Flavo-1 RNA
Source: RNAcentral